Molecule: ribosomal RNA, 453 nt
Filed under: uncultured bacterium
Lineage: Bacteria
Description: partial 16S ribosomal RNA
Rfam family: Bacterial small subunit ribosomal RNA
Source: RNAcentral
UGGGGAAUAUUGCACAAUGGGCGCAAGCCUGAUGCAGCCAUGCCGCGUGUGUGAAGAAGGCCUUCGGGUUGUAAAGCACUUUCAGCGAGGAGGAAGGUGGUGAGCUUAAUACGCUCAUCAAUUGACGUUACUCGCAGAAGAAGCACCGGCUAACUCCGUGCCAGCAGCCGCGGUAAUACGGAGGGUGCAAGCGUUAAUCGGAAUUACUGGGCGUAAAGCGCACGCAGGCGGUUUGUUAAGUCAGAUGUGAAAUCCCCCGGGCUCAACCUGGGAACUGCAUUUGAAACUGGCAAGCUAGAGUCUCGUAGAGGGGGGUAGAAAUUCCAGGUGUAGCGGUGAAAUGCGUAGAGAUCUGGAGGAAUACCGGUGGCGAAGGCGGCCCCCUGGACGAAGACUGACGCUCAGGUGCGAAAGCGUGGGGCAGCAAACAGGAUUAGAUACCCUGGUAGUCCA